RNAcentral lists this unclassified non-coding RNA (378 nucleotides) under Hevea brasiliensis (rubber tree). The record is from RNAcentral. Lineage: Eukaryota; Viridiplantae; Streptophyta; Magnoliopsida; Malpighiales; Euphorbiaceae.
CCACCACGGUUAGCUCUUCCCGUUAAAUCAUCGUCCGGCGGUAAAACAGGGCCUACAGCCCACACACGAUCAUUUUGGAACUCCCUUUUCAUGUGAUCCAGGUAAACACGUUCUAACUCAGCGAACGAGUUGAAUAUGAUUCCCCAACUCGCCAAAUUAGCCAAAUUACAGUUUCUAUAAAAUUCCCAAUCGGAGUCCUUGGGCAUCCUGUAAAUGUGAGAGAUCUGCCACCAGGGGAAAGUCGGGGAAUUCGGAAUCUUAGGAAAUGACACUGAAAGAUUCAGGUUUUCCGGAUGAUCGUUUUGUGGCUGGUCACGCCAAACAAAAGUGGCAACGGAGAAAGCAAGGGCCCCCGACGGCGAGAAAACGAUGCGUGGC